RNAcentral lists this ribosomal RNA (408 nucleotides) under uncultured bacterium. RNAcentral's name for it is "partial 16S ribosomal RNA". It matches the Rfam family "Bacterial small subunit ribosomal RNA", at positions 28 to 526 of the family's 1533-position model. The record is from RNAcentral.
GACGAACGCUGGCGGCGUGCUUAACACAUGCAAGUCGAACGAAGUGGCGAACGGGUGAGUAACGCGUAAUCAACCUGCCCUUCAGAGGGGGACAACAGUUGGAACCGACUGCUAAUACCGCAUACUGAAGGGGGGGAUUGCGUCUGAUUAGCUAGGUGGGGGGGUAACGGCCGACCAAGGCGAUGAUCAGUAGGCGGGCUGAGAGGAUGAACGGCCACAUUGGGACUGGGACACGGGCCAGACUCCUACGGGAGGCAGCAGGGGGGAAUCUUCCGGAAUGGACGAAAGUCCGACGGAGCAACGCCGCGGGAGUGAUGACGGCCUUCGGGGUGUAAAGCUCUGUUAAUCGGGACGCGGUACCUGAAUAGAAAGCCACGGCUAACUACGUGCCAGCAGCCGCGGUAAUUC